This 687-nucleotide long non-coding RNA is filed under the name Marmota monax (woodchuck). Lineage: Eukaryota; Metazoa; Chordata; Mammalia; Rodentia; Sciuridae. The record is from RNAcentral.
CCAGAAGCCAGAGGGGGCAGGGAUGGUCUCCCUGGAGAAGGGACAGCCCAAGGACAGGGGAUUUUGGCCUGGUGCUACCCUCCAGAGCUCUCAGGUAGCACAUCUGUGUGGCCCUCAGCUGCAGCAUCGCAGGGGUUGCCACCAAGGCUGGGACGCCUGCUGCCUGUCGCCUGUCGUCCUCACGGUGAGGAGGCUGGCCGAGCAGGCUUGGGUAAUGCCCCUGGAGGACGCUGGCUCCUCCCGACCGCUCCGGCCUUCAGCCCCUUCACUCUGCCUCCCCCGCCCUUCACCCUUCCUGUGACCCCCAGAGCUGCUGGGACCUGAUCCCUCGGGCUCCUGUUGCCCCCUGGAGCAGCCCAGGGCAGCACAUCGCUGGACCUUCAUUUUGAGAGCUGACUGUGAGAUGGGAGGCCCCGGAGAUGGCCCUGGCUCUGCGGCCUGCAGCUCCCGACCAGGCUGAGCGCCCACCUGCAGCCACCUUUCCUGCUGGAGAUGGUCACCAGGAAAGGAAACCUGCGUCCACACAGAAACGUCUCCACGACACUCCAGCUGCCCAGGAAGCAGCCGGGUCGGUGGGCAGGAGGGUGGGGACAAACCGGGUGUUUGUGACAGUCCACAGCAAGGAGAGACACCUACCUGGCUGCAGCCUGCGGGAGUCAGAGGCCAGGUUGGAGUGGCGGUGGGGGC